RNAcentral lists this long non-coding RNA (556 nucleotides) under Capsicum annuum. RNAcentral's name for it is "long non-coding RNA (CANN_LNC010080)". Lineage: Eukaryota; Viridiplantae; Streptophyta; Magnoliopsida; Solanales; Solanaceae. The record is from RNAcentral.
GAAACUGAAACUAUAAAUUACCUAGAACAGUUAUACGAAGAAAUUUACCCAGAAGGAUAUUAUUCAGAUUAAGAUAUGUUAGAAUAUAUUAGACAAACUAGAGAAAAUCAAGAAAAUCUAAAUAAUGAAAUUAAUUAUAGAAACCGAAUUAGACAAAUAAUAAAAGACCUAAAAGAAAAAUUAAUAUGGAUAGAAAAAACCUUAGAAAAUUUAGAUAAAAAUACAUGUGAUAGUUUAUAUAAUUUAAAAAACUCACUACGAGAAGAACAACACAAAAUAAUAAAUAACAUUGAAAAUCUAGAAUUAGAUAUAUAUUAUAGCACAGAUAGGAUAAAUUAUUAUACAAGAAUUUGUAACUCUGUAAUUACUACAGGAUAAAAUAAUUAAUGAAUAUAUCUUACGACAAAAGUAAAUUAUUAAAAGAUAACAUCCACGCACUAAAUAAAAAUAGAUUCACUACAAUAUGUACCAAAUCUAUUAUACAAAUCUAUUAUACCUACAAAUCCGCGCACCCCCCUUACAAAUGGUAUCAGAGCAUAGCAAUUUAAAAAGUACG